Molecule: long non-coding RNA, 1010 nt
Organism: Populus nigra (black poplar)
Lineage: Eukaryota; Viridiplantae; Streptophyta; Magnoliopsida; Malpighiales; Salicaceae
Exons: 2
Source: RefSeq, a predicted model, not a curated record
UAUAUUUCAUUAAAAUUCAUCAUGAAUCAUUCUAAUUUUUAUGAUGCUUUUGAUUUUGAUGAUGACACUCCCAUGUUCGCCUUUCAAGUUGCUACCGUAGUGGUUGCUGAAGAGAAAUCGAAUAAUCAAGGGCGGAGAACAAAGUAUCUUGGCUCUAUUCUUGGUCACAAUAUUGUCAAUCGUAACAGAAAGGAAGAUCGUAAAUGCAAUGGAAGCUCACAAUCCACAUUUCAAACAAAGGACGGAUGCUUUUGAUGUUCUUGGUUUACUUGCCUUCAAAAGGUAACUGCAGCUUACAGGAUACUUGCAUAUGUUAUUCCUGCAGAUCUUACUGAUGAAUAUCUUCAAAUUGGGGAAACCACUGUAAUAGAAAGUCUUAGAGCUUUUGUCAAAGCAAUCGUAAAAGUUUUUGGUGAUUGGUAUCUAAGGGCACCAAACGAGGCUGAUAUUUGUCGAUUGUUAUCAAUUGGAGAGCAACGUGAAUUUCCAAGGAUGUUAGGGAGCAUUGACUGUAUGCAUUGGAAAUUGGAGAAAUGCCCAAUUGCAUGGCAUGGGAUGCAUAUCGGUCAUUGUCAUGAACCAACUAUAAUUCUAGAGGCAGUGACUUCACAAGAUCUUUGGAUAUGACAUGCUUUUUUUGGAAUGCAUGGAUCAUUAAAUGAUAUUAAUGUUCUUGAUCGGUCACCUAUCUUCGUUGCACUUGCUGAAGGUCGUACUGCUCCUGUCAAUUAUACAAUUAAUGGGCAUGAAUAUACAAUGGGAUAUUAUUUAGCAUAUGGGAUUUAUCCUAAUUGGUCAACCUUUAUUAAGACAAUCCCAAGACCAUUAGGAGCAAAGAGAAAAUAUUUUGCAAGUAAGUAAGAGUUUGCAAGAAAGGAUGUGGAGCAGACAUUUGGGGUGCUCCAAUCUCAUUUUGCAAUUGUACGUGGAUCUAUUCGAUACUGGGAUAAAGAAACGCUUGCAAAUAUUAUGAAAGCUUGCAUAAUAAUGCAUAAUAUGAUUAUUGAGGA